RNAcentral lists this transfer RNA (71 nucleotides) under Sphaerodactylus townsendi. Its description in RNAcentral is "tRNA-Ala". The record is from RNAcentral. Lineage: Eukaryota; Metazoa; Chordata; Lepidosauria; Squamata; Sphaerodactylidae.
GGGCUGUGGCUCAGUGGGACGGAAUCUGCGUGGCAGGCAGAAGGCCGCAGGUUCAAGCCCGGCCAGCAUCU